CUCAGUUCCAAUUCUCACGCUCGCCCAGCCGAUUGGUUGAACGGUUAAAAAGUACUUAAGACAGAAGAACGUUGAGCCGCGUUUUGAGAAACUUUCGAAGCAUUGACUGAACGCUUGUAGAAAAAGCCCACCAAUUAGUUGCCGCCGCAGAAAACCCACAGUUACUAGUAAAAUUUAGUUUAAAAG
Long non-coding RNA from Rhagoletis pomonella (apple maggot), 186 nucleotides. RefSeq lists it as uncharacterized. The transcript is spliced from 2 exons. Lineage: Eukaryota; Metazoa; Arthropoda; Insecta; Diptera; Tephritidae. The record is from RefSeq and is a predicted model, not a curated record.